UACGGAGGGUCCAAGCGUUAUCCGGAAUCAUUGGGUUUAAAGGGUGCGCAGGCGGUUUAUUAAGUCAGUGGUGAAAUCUCGAGGCUCAACCUCGAAACUGCCAUUGAUACUGAUAAACUUGAGUUCAGUUGGAGUAGGCGGAAUGUGUAGUGUAGCGGUGAAAUGCUUAGAUAUUACACAGAACACCGAUAGCGAAGGCAGCUUACUAAACUGAUACUGACGCUGAGGCACGAAAGCGUGGGGAGCGAACAGG
RNAcentral lists this ribosomal RNA (253 nucleotides) under uncultured bacterium. RNAcentral's name for it is "partial 16S ribosomal RNA". It matches the Rfam family "Bacterial small subunit ribosomal RNA", at positions 524 to 776 of the family's 1533-position model. The record is from RNAcentral.